GUAGGUGGCAAGCGUUGUCCGGAAUUAUUGGGCGUAAAGCGCGCGCAGGUGGUUCUUUAAGUCUGAUGUGAAAGCCCCCGGCUCGAACCGGGGAGGGUCAUUGGAAACUGGGGAACUUGAGUGCAGGAGAGGAAAGUGGAAUUCCACGUGUAGCGGUGAAAUGCGUAGAUAUGUGGAGGAACACCAGUGGCGAAGGCGACUUUCUGGCCUGUAACUGACACUGAGGCGCGAAAGCGUGGGGAGCAAACAGGAUUAGAUACCCUGGUAGUCCACGCCGUAAACGAUGAGUGCUAAGUGUUGGGGGGGUUUCCGCCCCCUCAGUGCUGCAGCUAACGCAUUAAGCACUCCGCCUGGGGAGUACGGUCGCAAAGACUG
Molecule: ribosomal RNA, 375 nt
Filed under: uncultured organism
Description: partial 16S ribosomal RNA
Rfam family: Bacterial small subunit ribosomal RNA
Source: RNAcentral